UGACCGUUUCACGCAGACAGAGAAUUUUUAGGUAGACGGGCUAUAACACAAUCUUCUAAGUAAUCAUUCAACGACAACACUAAAGUUAUUUGUAACUCUGAUAGCUAUAUAUACCACCUUCCCAUUUUGUGUAUAAUUACAGUUUUGAGUGUUUUUAUAUAUUUGUAUUUGUCCAAAACAGCAUGACGUAUUAAAGAAAUAUUGUUCCAGAGCCAUUUUGUACCCACCACUUAUUUAACUUUUCUCAAAAAGGCUUGACCUUGCUCCCUGUCAUUCGGGAUCACUUGCGUGGACGUCGUGACAUCAGUGUUUUUUUUGCAAUGGUUCUUCAGUAAACGGACAAUAUGUUAGCAGCAAUAAACAUUUUUAGCAAGCCAAAACAAAAACAAAAGAAAAAGGAAAAAAGAGAACAAAUAGUGUACUGCUAAGCUCAAGUUGAUAAAGUCUUCUUUAAAGGAGCAGCAUGGGACGAGAAAGACUCAGUGAAUUGGCUAUACUCUCAAUAGAGAAAAGCAGAGCCAGGAGUUGGACUUGAGCAGUGUUGUUAAUGACUGCGCUGAGAGCAAGGCCCGUAGGGACGUCUAAUGGGGGAGUACAGGCUUCUCUUUGUCAUGGAGUGGGAUCAGGGAUUUAAAUCUGUAGCAAUGUAAUGGUUCCCUCUCUUAUGUUGGAGAAUGUGCACUUACUGUAGUCUGUGUCUGUUACAGCAUCUGGCCGCUGAGCCGCUGAUGAUUAAUGCAAGUGAUUGUGUGAUCAGGUGCCGUCGUCCAUUAAUUCAUGCGGUGUAGGCCUAUAAUGAGUUGCUGUGCUUUUCCUGAGGGCUAUUUGUUGUAUACUUCUCGACAUACUGUGGAAGAGACCUUUAUUGUUGAUUUGUUAGUGUAAGCUGGCUAAAGCUAUUUCCGAUGUUUUGGUAGUUGGAGAAAUUAGGCUGUGGUGGAGUCCAGGGCUGGCUGUUAGAUUAACAUUGAUACGGUUUCCCCCACCAUCAUAAAGACAUGCAUUGCAUCGUAUGAAUAGGAAUGAAUGUUGGUGGUGGUCGGAGGGGCCGUAGGCGCUGAUUGGCAGCCACGCUUCUGUCAGUCUGCCCCAGGGCAGCUGUGGCUACUGAGGUAGCUUACCACCACCGGUAUGACUGUGUAUGAAUGACUACUGGACUCUGGACUCUGUAAAGCGACUUAGGGUAUUUAGAGAAGCGCUAUAUAAGAUUGAAUUGAUUGAUUGAUUGACACAUUUGGUAAGAAAAAGUAUGUGCACCAGGGCCAAUCCCAAUUCUGUUCCACUACUGUGAAGCACCGAUGGAGGGCAGUGGAGAGGGUGGAGCCUGUGUUAGUUUAGGGGAGGAGGAACAGGAGAGAGGGUGGAGCCUGUGUUCGUUUAGGGGAG
Long non-coding RNA from Clupea harengus (Atlantic herring), 1386 nucleotides. NCBI's taxonomy places the organism in Eukaryota, Metazoa, Chordata, Actinopteri, Clupeiformes, Clupeidae. The record is from Ensembl.